CUUGACAUUGGGUCUUGGUACUACAUGUACAGGAUAGGUGGGAGGCUUUGAAACCAGGACGCCAGUUUUGGCGGAGCCAUCCUUGGGAUACCACCCUUGUAGUCCUGGGACUCUAACCAUAGGCCAUGAAUCUGGUCUUGGGACACUGUCAGGUGGGCAGUUUGACUGGGGCGGUCGCCUCCCAAAAGGUAACGGAGGCGCUCAA
Molecule: ribosomal RNA, 205 nt
Filed under: Clostridioides difficile
Lineage: Bacteria; Bacillati; Bacillota; Clostridia; Peptostreptococcales; Peptostreptococcaceae
Description: partial 23S ribosomal RNA
Rfam family: Bacterial large subunit ribosomal RNA
Source: RNAcentral